This 468-nucleotide ribosomal RNA is filed under the name uncultured bacterium. RNAcentral describes it as "partial 16S ribosomal RNA". It matches the Rfam family "Bacterial small subunit ribosomal RNA", at positions 28 to 507 of the family's 1533-position model. The record is from RNAcentral.
GACGAACGCUGGCGGCGUGCUUAACACAUGCAAGUCGAACGGAAAGGCCCUGCUUUUGUGGGGUGCUCGAGUGGCGAACGGGUGAGUAACACGUGAGUAACCUGCCCUUGACUUUGGGAUAACUUCAGGAAACUGGGGCUAAUACCGGAUAGGGGCUCCUGCUGCAUGGUGGGGGUUGGAAAGUUUCGGCGGUUGGGGAUGGACUCGCGGCUUAUCAGCUUGUUGGUGGGGUAGUGGCUUACCAAGGCUUUGACGGGUAGCCGGCCUGAGAGGGUGACCGGCCACAUGGGGACUGAGAGACGGCCCAGUCUCCUACGGGAGGCAGCGGUGGGGAAUAUUGCACAAUGGGCGGGAGCCUGAUACAGCAACGCCGCGGGUGGGAUGACGGCCUUCGGGUUGUAAACCGCUUUCGCCUGUGACGAAGCGUGAGUGACGGUAAUGGGUAAAGAAGCACCGGCUAACUACGUG